RNAcentral lists this ribosomal RNA (253 nucleotides) under uncultured bacterium. RNAcentral describes it as "partial 16S ribosomal RNA". It matches the Rfam family "Bacterial small subunit ribosomal RNA", at positions 524 to 776 of the family's 1533-position model. The record is from RNAcentral.
UACGAAGGGUGCAAACGUUGCUCGGAAUCAUUGGGCGUAAAGCGCGCGUAGGCGGUUACUUAAGUCGGAUGUGAAAGCCCUCGGCUUAACUGAGGAAGUGCACCCGAAACUGAGUAGCUAGAGUACGAAAGAGGGUCGCGGAAUUCCCGGUGUAGAGGUGAAAUUCGUAGAUAUCGGGAGGAACACCGGUGGCGAAGGCGGCCAUCUGGACCGCAACUGACGCUGAGGCGCGAAAGCGUGGGGAGCAAACAGG